AACGAACGCUGGCGGCAUGCCUAACACAUGCAAGUCGAACGAGACCUUCGGGUCUAGUGGCGCUCGGGUGCGUAACGCGUGGGAACCUGCCGUUAGGUUCGGAAUAACUCUUUUAAGGGGGUGCUAAUACCGGAUAAUUUCUUCGGACCAAAGAUUUAUCGUCUUUGGAUGGGCCGGAGUUGUUUUAGCUAGUUGGUAUGGUAAAAGCCGACCAAGGCUACGAUCCAUAGCUGGUAUGAGAGGAAGAUCAGCCACACUUGGACUGGGACACGGCGCAGACUCCUACGGGAGGCAGGAGUGGGGAAUACUGGACAACGGGCGAAAGCAUGAUCCAGCAAGGCCGCGUGAGUGAUGAAGGUGUUAGGGAUGUGAAGCUCUUUAACACGGCGUGAUAAUGACAGUACCGGGAGAAUAAGCACCGGCUAACUCCGUG
RNAcentral lists this ribosomal RNA (433 nucleotides) under uncultured bacterium. RNAcentral describes it as "partial 16S ribosomal RNA". It matches the Rfam family "Bacterial small subunit ribosomal RNA", at positions 29 to 507 of the family's 1533-position model. The record is from RNAcentral.